This 492-nucleotide ribosomal RNA is filed under the name uncultured bacterium. RNAcentral describes it as "partial 16S ribosomal RNA". It matches the Rfam family "Bacterial small subunit ribosomal RNA", at positions 29 to 507 of the family's 1533-position model. The record is from RNAcentral.
AGUGAACGCUGGCGGUAGGCCUAACACAUGCAAGUCGAACGGCAGCACAGUAAUAGCUUGCUCUUACGGGUGGCGAGUGGCGGACGGGUGAGGAAUACAUCUGAAUCUACUUUUUCGUGGGGGAUAACGUAGGGAAACUUACGCUAAUACCGCAUACGACCUACGGGUUAAAGCAGGGGAUCUUCGGACCUUGCGCGAUUGAAUGAGCCGAUGUCGGAUUAGCUAGUUGGCGGGGUAAAGGCCCACCAAGGCGACGAUCCGUAGCUGGUCUGAGAGGAUGAUCAGCCACACUGGAACUGAGACACGGUCCAGAAUCCUACGGGAGGCAGCAGUGGGGAAUAUUGGACAAUGGGCGCAAGCCUGAUCCAGCCAUACCGCGUGGGUGAAGAAGGCCUUCGGGUUGUAAAGCCCUUUUGUUGGGAAAGAAAAGCAGCAGGUUAAUACCCCGCUGUUCUGGCGGUACCCAAAGAAUAAGCACCGGCUAACUUCGUG